CGGAGGGUGCGAGCGUUGUCCGGAAUCACUGGGCGUAAAGGGCGCGUAGGCGGUCUGUUAAGCGUGUGGUGAAAGCUCGGGGCUCAACCCCGAGUCUGCCAUGCGAACUGGUGGACUUGAGCACUGUAGAGGCAGGUGGAAUUCCGGGUGUAGCGGUGGAAUGCGUAGAGAUCCGGAAGAACACCGGUGGCGAAGGCGGCCUGCUGGGCAGUUGCUGACGCUGAGGCGCGACAGCGUGGGGAGCAAACAGGAUUAGAUACCCUGGUAGUCCACGCCGUAAACGAUGGGCACUAGGUGCUUGGGGGAGCGACCCCCCGAGUGCCGGCGCUAACGCAUUAAGUGCCCCGCCUGGGGAGUACGACCGCAAGGUUG
Molecule: ribosomal RNA, 372 nt
Filed under: uncultured organism
Description: bacterial SSU rRNA
Rfam family: Bacterial small subunit ribosomal RNA
Source: RNAcentral